AAUAGAGAACCAUUCAGCCACUCUAACUCUCUCCCUCAUUUGUCUUCAAGUCGUGAAUUCCUUAGAAAAAUAUUCGGAUCAGGCAUGUCUUUGAACCAAGAGUAGUCCUAAGUGAUCAUUUCCCAUUUUCCCUACAAGCGGCAAACUCCAAAUAGAUGACCCAAACAGCAAAGCUUAUCUUCUUCAAUCUAUCUCCUUAUUCGAUCGUACAGCAAGCAGUAAGCUUUCAUGUGUUUGACUCCUUCAUCCUAUCCUCUAAACCGUCGAUCUCUAAGAGGUGAAUCACAAUACAAGCCUUCAUCUCAUUUCCUCAAGGGUCCAGCCAUUUGCAGCAACUAGGGAGAUUGCUCAUGAGCUCUUCCUCCACCUCUUUCCCUUGUUCGGCCAAAGGCCCUUCUUCAAGGAGCUCCUUCCCCUUCUUCAUGUUGACUUAAACGCGAGUUAUGGAGCAUAGGAAGGAGGAUGGGCUGCUUCUUGGUCGAUUUGUGGUCUUGGGUGCCGAUGCAAGAAAAGGUGCACAUAACCUUUGAGUGUGGACUGAAUUUGCUGCUGUAUGAUUUAUAUUGAGGCACACCAAGGUAUGUGUUUGGUGGUGAGACCUAUUGUGACUAUUAGCUAGCGUAUGGAAUUUUGAAUUGAUGCUCACAUGUGCCUUAUGAUUAGUAUUCGGUUAUAUGUUAUAUGUAUUCUGCCUUUGCAUUUGACAUGAUGGAAAUUUCGUUUUGGGAAUUAAUUGUGAUUCGGCAGCUUGGUAUUAAAAGUACGAGAAAUAUAUACUAUUAUGAUCUAGUCAUGCAUAUGCACCUCAUGAUUCAUCUGUUUCUGUCUGUGUGUGCCAAACAUGUCAUAGCAUACAGCAUUAUGCACUCAUUUUGGAAGCCGAAGUAUAUAAUAAAAUAAGCAUACGUUUGAGCACGCAUCAUAUAGGCAUCCCUCCGGUACCAGGGUAUGGGACACUUGGCUUCAGUCCGCAUAGGUCGCGGUUGGAACCCUCUUGAGGAGCCAUUAUGGGAUCUCCACUGUGCUUGUUAGUACGUGCACUGCAGUGCUAUGAACAUAUAUCUUUGGCGUUAUAUACGCAUCUUGAUUAGUAUUUUGGCGUUAUAUAUGCAAUAUGAUUAGUACUUUGGCGUUAUAUACGCACUAUGAUUAUAUGUUAGCACCUAUCCGAAAAAUUAUAUGUUGAUGCGACUGUUUUGGAAUUUUGUACCUAGUCUAAUAUUGUGGCAAUACUGGUUUUACUAUCACACUACUGGGAUUCUUUCUCACCCCUUUUGGGGCUCAAUUUUUAUAAAUUGUAGGGAGACGAAAAAGGAUUUUUUUUUAUGAAGUAUUUGAUUUGGACAUGUUCUGCUUGUUUGCUGCUGCUUUGGAAAUUAUGCUGUUGUCCACCAUUUUUGUUAGUUGUUGACUGAUUAAUGAUGUUGAUUUAAUAUUUUGUGAUAUCGGAAAAAUGUCAGAACCUGUCUUAAAUUGGUGUAUUAUGAGACUUUAUGGUCAGCACCUAACUUGCACUAUUCUGAUUAUAUUUUACAAAAACAAUUCAUGAACGUUUUGAAUGCUAAGUUAUAAACUGUUUUGCGAGCACUUUACGAGUUCCACUUCUAGGGCUACAGAUCUCCGAUUUACUUAUGCACGCGUAGCCCCAUAUGUCUAUUUUCAGAUUAUAUAAACUUUAUAAUGAAAUUUUGAAAGCUCAAUUUAUUAUAAUUUUUGCAAGUCAGGUCGUUUUGAAACAUUGCAAUGAUUUGCCUUGUAUUUUUGCGAGUUCAGUCUCGGGAGCUAGACACCUCCGAACGAAAUAAUUUUUAUAUGCUCAUAACGCCCCGGAUGUCUAGUUUUCUUGUGUCAAAGAAGUUUGUUUUAAGCUAUUGAAUCCAAUUUGAUAUGAUUUUUUCAAUGCAGCAAGGUUUUUGGAAAACUACUAUUUUCAGCAAGCAAUGUAUUUUAUGAAGCCUCACGCUAUUUUUUUCACGUGCAACCAGAUUUCAUUGAAGAUCUUAUUUAAUUGACUUAAAAUCAUAGUGCAGUAUUUAAAUUAAUUCUGCUCCGACUCUAAUCCGCUUAGCAGAUGACUCCCUUGGACGCGUACAGGGAGGGUGUCACAAUAACAAAAGGAAUGGAUAAGAUCUUGAUAGUAUCUUGUCAAGAUCAAAUCCUAAGUAUCAAGAGGAGAUAUUUGGACAUCAUCAAAGAUGAUUGGGGCGCUGAUUUGGUGGCUUAAUGCUGGUCAUUUAAUCAACAAAUCAAGCUCCAUUCAGAUUUGGUUGGUUGUAGAAAUAUUUGAUUUAGUUGAUUCAAUUUGAAUUGCAACUAAUCAAUAUUUUUGGAAUGAUUUUGGGCUGAUUGGGGUGCACAAUAUGGCUGAUCAUAUAAUGGUUAUUAGGUCAAAAUAUUGACUAGGUGCAGACUUAGUUUUAAGAGGAUAGGAUAGGAGUUUGUUGACUAUAUUUGAUUUGCAACAACUCCAUUCUUUCCUCCACAAAAGGGGCGCUCCAUGAUCAGAUUUUUGGUGAAAAAAAUCUGAUUCAAAUUUAUUCCUCUUUCAUCUCCUUAAGUUUUUUCCUUUUGUGAUAUUCUCCUUAGGGUUUUUGGAAAAUAAAAAGGCCAUUCUCUUCUACAAUUUGUGCACUACUUUGUGUGAUUUUUAUGGCUGAAAAUUCUCUCAUCUAAACAUAAUAGAACCGAGCUUCCUACCUCUUCACAAGGGACGCCUAGCUUGCUCCUUUGUGGUGUUUGAAUUGGUGGCUUUUCAAGAAGAGUUCUUACGUCUUGACAAAGGGUGGUGUGGAUCAACAUUAGAGGGUUUGAACCUUCAAGCCUAACACUGAUCACCUUCGAGUUUUGAGUUAUGAAUAAGUUAUCUCUGUGUCCUAGAGUACGUAUCUUGAUUGGUAUGUGUGUUUCCGCUUUGAAAAUUUUUUGUUUUCAUCCUCACAUGCCUACGGCCUUCAAGGCUCUAUCUUUCAAGUGGUAUCAGAGCCCGGUUGCUUUACCAUAGACGGGUGAUGGUACUUUGUUUGUAAAAAUUUAUUCUUCACGGUCAAAAAUUCUUUAAAGAUGUUAAAGAUUGAUUCUUUGCAUGUGGAUAUAAAAUGUUAAAGAUUGUUUUUUCAUGAACUUGAUUAAUAUGAUUAUGAUGUUCAUAUAUCUACGUGUACUCAGGGUUUUGUUUCUUUAUAUUCUUUGUGAAAGUUUUCAAAAGAAACAUUUUUUUGGAAAAGAAUAUGAUUCGGCCAUGAUGUGAAUAUUCAAAUGCCUUGUUUUCUCCAUGAUCUUAUGGCAUAUCUCGACUACAUGUAUAAAAGAAGGGUUCUUGAUUUUGUUUGAAUUGUUAAAAAAUUUUGUGAUAAAAUUUCCAAUAAAUGAGCAUGUAUGGUUCGGCCAUAUUGAGAUUAUAGUUAUAUGUAUGAUUUAAUUUAUGUUCUUUGAGAAAGAAUUGACAAAGAUUUGAAUUAUGUAUAAAGAUGCACGAUUCGGCCAUUUGGAGAAAAUUAGGAAAUUUUGAAUUUUGAUUCUUGUUUUGAUAUUUUAAUUGUUAAAUUAUCAAAAUAUAUGUGAGAAUAUAUUUAAUUGUGUGCUUGCAAGCUGUUUAACUUUUCAGGUGCAAAUUGGAAGGGGAUGGUCAUGGUGCCCGAAUUUAAAUUUUAAAUUUUAAAUUUUAAAUUAAAGGUGUAAUUUUGCUCUAUUUAAAUUAGAGAUGUAAAUUUGAAUUUUAAAUUUUUGUAUCUUCAUUUGUCCCUCCAAAGAUGUUUUGGAGUUUCUUUAAUUAUUUUGUAAUUAGAGAAUUAGGCUAGUGGCGUUUAGACGAGUAGAAGCCGUGGCCUAAGGAGCAAGAUUGAAGAAUGCGCGAGCAUCAUAACUGUCUCAAAUAAAACUGUUUUAUAUGCUUGUAUAUUUUAAAACGACUAGUAUGCAUGAGAUAGUGUA
Gastrolobium bilobum is the source of this 3930-nucleotide long non-coding RNA. RefSeq lists it as uncharacterized. The transcript is spliced from 3 exons. Lineage: Eukaryota; Viridiplantae; Streptophyta; Magnoliopsida; Fabales; Fabaceae. The record is from RefSeq and is a predicted model, not a curated record.